AUACGUAGGGGGCAAGCGUUAUCCGGAUUUACUGGGUGUAAAGGGAGCGUAGACGGAAGGCCAAGUCUGAUGUGAAAGCCCGCGGCUCAACUGCGGGACUGCAUUGGAAACUGGUCAUCUGGAGUGCAGGAGGGGUAAGCGGAAUUCCUAGUGUAGCGGUGAAAUGCGUAGAGAUUGGGAGGAACACCAGUGGCGAAGGCGACUUACUGGACUGUAACUGACGCUGAGGCGCGAAAGUGUGGGGAGCAAACAGGAUUAGAUACCCUGGUAGUCCACACUGUAAACGAUGAAUGCUAGGUGUAGGGGGUAUCGACCCCUUCUGUGCCGCAGUCAACACAAUAAGCAUUCCGCCUGGGGAGUACGGCCGCAAGGUUGAAACUCAAAGGAAUUGACGGGG
RNAcentral lists this ribosomal RNA (397 nucleotides) under uncultured bacterium. RNAcentral's name for it is "partial 16S ribosomal RNA". It matches the Rfam family "Bacterial small subunit ribosomal RNA", at positions 523 to 918 of the family's 1533-position model. The record is from RNAcentral.